RNAcentral lists this ribosomal RNA (2904 nucleotides) under Escherichia coli O1:HNT. Its description in RNAcentral is "23S ribosomal RNA". It matches the Rfam family "Bacterial large subunit ribosomal RNA". The record is from RNAcentral. Lineage: Bacteria; Pseudomonadati; Pseudomonadota; Gammaproteobacteria; Enterobacterales; Enterobacteriaceae.
GGUUAAGCGACUAAGCGUACACGGUGGAUGCCCUGGCAGUCAGAGGCGAUGAAGGACGUGCUAAUCUGCGAUAAGCGUCGGUAAGGUGAUAUGAACCGUUAUAACCGGCGAUUUCCGAAUGGGGAAACCCAGUGUGAUUCGUCACACUAUCAUUAACUGAAUCCAUAGGUUAAUGAGGCGAACCGGGGGAACUGAAACAUCUAAGUACCCCGAGGAAAAGAAAUCAACCGAGAUUCCCCCAGUAGCGGCGAGCGAACGGGGAGCAGCCCAGAGCCUGAAUUAGUGUGUGUGUUAGUGGAAGCGUCUGGAAAGGCGCGCGAUACAGGGUGACAGCCCCGUACACAAAAAUGCACAUACUGUGAGCUCGAUGAGUAGGGCGGGACACGUGGUAUCCUGUCUGAAUAUGGGGGGACCAUCCUCCAAGGCUAAAUACUCCUGACUGACCGAUAGUGAACCAGUACCGUGAGGGAAAGGCGAAAAGAACCCCGGCGAGGGGAGUGAAAAAGAACCUGAAACCGUGUACGUACAAGCAGUGGGAGCCUCUUUAUGGGGUGACUGCGUACCUUUUGUAUAAUGGGUCAGCGACUUAUAUUCUGUAGCAAGGUUAACCGAAUAGGGGAGCCGAAGGGAAACCGAGUCUUAACUGGGCGUUAAGUUGCAGGGUAUAGACCCGAAACCCGGUGAUCUAGCCAUGGGCAGGUUGAAGGUUGGGUAACACUAACUGGAGGACCGAACCGACUAAUGUUGAAAAAUUAGCGGAUGACUUGUGGCUGGGGGUGAAAGGCCAAUCAAACCGGGAGAUAGCUGGUUCUCCCCGAAAGCUAUUUAGGUAGCGCCUCGUGAAUUCAUCUCCGGGGGUAGAGCACUGUUUCGGCAAGGGGGUCAUCCCGACUUACCAACCCGAUGCAAACUGCGAAUACCGGAGAAUGUUAUCACGGGAGACACACGGCGGGUGCUAACGUCCGUCGUGAAGAGGGAAACAACCCAGACCGCCAGCUAAGGUCCCAAAGUCAUGGUUAAGUGGGAAACGAUGUGGGAAGGCCCAGACAGCCAGGAUGUUGGCUUAGAAGCAGCCAUCAUUUAAAGAAAGCGUAAUAGCUCACUGGUCGAGUCGGCCUGCGCGGAAGAUGUAACGGGGCUAAACCAUGCACCGAAGCUGCGGCAGCGACACUGUGUGUUGUUGGGUAGGGGAGCGUUCUGUAAGCCUGUGAAGGUGUGCUGUGAGGCAUGCUGGAGGUAUCAGAAGUGCGAAUGCUGACAUAAGUAACGAUAAAGCGGGUGAAAAGCCCGCUCGCCGGAAGACCAAGGGUUCCUGUCCAACGUUAAUCGGGGCAGGGUGAGUCGACCCCUAAGGCGAGGCCGAAAGGCGUAGUCGAUGGGAAACAGGUUAAUAUUCCUGUACUUGGUGUUACUGCGAAGGGGGGACGGAGAAGGCUAUGUUGGCCGGGCGACGGUUGUCCCGGUUUAAGCGUGUAGGCUGAUUUUCCAGGCAAAUCCGGAAAAUCAAGGCUGAGGCGUGAUGACGAGGCACUACGGUGCUGAAGCAACAAAUGCCCUGCUUCCAGGAAAAGCCUCUAAGCAUCAGGUAACAUCAAAUCGUACCCCAAACCGACACAGGUGGUCAGGUAGAGAAUACCAAGGCGCUUGAGAGAACUCGGGUGAAGGAACUAGGCAAAAUGGUGCCGUAACUUCGGGAGAAGGCACGCUGAUAUGUAGGUGAAGUCCCUCGCGGAUGGAGCUGAAAUCAGUCGAAGAUACCAGCUGGCUGCAACUGUUUAUUAAAAACACAGCACUGUGCAAACACGAAAGUGGACGUAUACGGUGUGACGCCUGCCCGGUGCCGGAAGGUUAAUUGAUGGGGUUAGCGGUAACGCGAAGCUCUUGAUCGAAGCCCCGGUAAACGGCGGCCGUAACUAUAACGGUCCUAAGGUAGCGAAAUUCCUUGUCGGGUAAGUUCCGACCUGCACGAAUGGCGUAAUGAUGGCCAGGCUGUCUCCACCCGAGACUCAGUGAAAUUGAACUCGCUGUGAAGAUGCAGUGUACCCGCGGCAAGACGGAAAGACCCCGUGAACCUUUACUAUAGCUUGACACUGAACAUUGAGCCUUGAUGUGUAGGAUAGGUGGGAGGCUUUGAAGUGUGGACGCCAGUCUGCAUGGAGCCGGCCUUGAAAUACCACCCUUUAAUGUUUGAUGUUCUAACGUUGGCCCCUGAUCGGGGUUGCGGACAGUGUCUGGUGGGUAGUUUGACUGGGGCGGUCUCCUCCUAAAGAGUAACGGAGGAGCACGAAGGUUGGCUAAUCCUGGUCGGACAUCAGGAGGUUAGUGCAAUGGCAUAAGCCAGCUUGACUGCGAGCGUGACGGCGCGAGCAGGUGCGAAAGCAGGUCAUAGUGAUCCGGUGGUUCUGAAUGGAAGGGCCAUCGCUCAACGGAUAAAAGGUACUCCGGGGAUAACAGGCUGAUACCGCCCAAGAGUUCAUAUCGACGGCGGUGUUUGGCACCUCGAUGUCGGCUCAUCACAUCCUGGGGCUGAAGUAGGUCCCAAGGGUAUGGCUGUUCGCCAUUUAAAGUGGUACGCGAGCUGGGUUUAGAACGUCGUGAGACAGUUCGGUCCCUAUCUGCCGUGGGCGCUGGAGAACUGAGGGGGGCUGCUCCUAGUACGAGAGGACCGGAGUGGACGCAUCACUGGUGUUCGGGUUGUCAUGCCAAUGGCACUGCCCGGUAGCUAAAUGCGGAAGAGAUAAGUGCUGAAAGCAUCUAAGCACGAAACUUGCCCCGAGAUGAGUUCUCCCUGACUCCUUGAGAGUCCUGAAGGAACGUUGAAGACGACGACGUUGAUAGGCCGGGUGUGUAAGCGCAGCGAUGCGUUGAGCUAACCGGUACUAAUGAACCGUGAGGCUUAACCUU